RNAcentral lists this ribosomal RNA (386 nucleotides) under Cystopelta bicolor. RNAcentral describes it as "partial large subunit ribosomal RNA". It matches the Rfam family "Archaeal large subunit ribosomal RNA", at positions 1906 to 2675 of the family's 2987-position model. Lineage: Eukaryota; Metazoa; Mollusca; Gastropoda; Stylommatophora; Cystopeltidae. The record is from RNAcentral.
CAUAGCUUUAUGGAUAUAUAAAGUUUUUUCUGCCCAGUGGUCUAAACGGCCGCAGUACUUUGACUGUGCUAAGGUAGCAUAAUAAUUUGGCUUUUAAUUGGAGUCUGGAAUGAACGGGAAAUGAUGAAACUGUCUUUAAUUGAUAUUUUAAAUUUACUUAUAAGGUGAAAAUUCCUUAGUUAAUUAUAGACGAGAAGACCCUUAGAAUUUUAAUUUUUUUUGUUGGGGCGAUAAAGUUACAAUAAACUUACUUAUAUUUUUUACAUAUCGGUUAAGGUGAAAUUACCUGAGGGAUAACAGCAUAAUAAUAAGAUUGUGACCUCGAUGUUGGAUUAGGUAAUAAUAAUUAAUAAUUAUUAUUGUUCUGUUCGAACCCUACGUGAUCU